UCCGUAGGUGGAUAAUUAAGUCAGAGGUGAAAUCCUGCAGCUCAACUGUAGAAUUGCCUUUGAUACUGGUUAUCUUGAGUCAUUAUGAAGUGGUUAGAAUGUGUAGUGUAGCGGUGAAAUGCAUAGAUAUGACACAGAAUACCGAUUGCGAAGGCAGAUCACUAAUAAUGUACUGACACUGAGGGACGAAAGCGUGGGGAGCGAACAGGAUUAGAUACCCUGGUAGUCC
This 229-nucleotide ribosomal RNA is filed under the name uncultured bacterium. Its description in RNAcentral is "partial 16S ribosomal RNA". It matches the Rfam family "Bacterial small subunit ribosomal RNA", at positions 568 to 796 of the family's 1533-position model. The record is from RNAcentral.